Small nucleolar RNA from Toxorhynchites rutilus septentrionalis, 72 nucleotides. RefSeq annotates it as small nucleolar RNA U18. Lineage: Eukaryota; Metazoa; Arthropoda; Insecta; Diptera; Culicidae. The transcript has a single exon. The record is from RefSeq and is a predicted model, not a curated record.
AUUGUGAUGAAAAUAAUUGGUCCGUGUUGAUGAAUUUUAUUUGAAUAUGUUUUUCUCCAAUUACUGAUCAUU